This 727-nucleotide ribosomal RNA is filed under the name uncultured Actinomyces sp. RNAcentral describes it as "bacterial SSU rRNA". It matches the Rfam family "Bacterial small subunit ribosomal RNA", at positions 55 to 775 of the family's 1533-position model. The record is from RNAcentral. Lineage: Bacteria; Bacillati; Actinomycetota; Actinomycetes; Actinomycetales; Actinomycetaceae.
AUGCAAGUCGAACGAAAAUACCAAGCUUGCUUGGUUGAUUAGUGGCGAACGGGUGAGUAACACGUGAGUAACCUGCCCCUUACUUUCCUGGAUAACUGCUCGAAAGGGUAGCUAAUACGGGAUAUUCUGACCAUCCUGCAUGGGUUGGUUUGGAAAGGUUGUUUUUCUGGUAAGGGAUGGGCUCGCGGCCUAUCAGCUUGUUGGUGGGGUGAUGGCCUACCAAGGCUUUGACGGGUAGCCGGCCUGAGAGGGUGGACGGUCACACUGGGACUGAGAUACGGCCCAGACUCCUACGGGAGGCAGCAGUGGGGAAUAUUGCACAAUGGGCGCAAGCCUGAUGCAGCGACGCCGCGUGAGGGAUGAAGGCCUUCGGGUUGUAAACCUCUUUCGUCAGGGAACAAGGCACUGCUUUUUUGGUGGUGUUGAGGGUACCUGGAUAAGAAGCGCCGGCUAACUACGUGCCAGCAGCCGCGGUAAUACGUAGGGCGCAAGCGUUGUCCGGAAUUAUUGGGCGUAAAGAGCUCGUAGGCGGCUGGUCGCGUCUGUCGUGAAAACUUCCGGCUCAACCGGGGGCUUGCGGUGGGUACGGGCCGGCUAGAGUGCGGUAGGGGUAACUGGACUCCUGGUGUAGCGGUGGAUGCGCAGAUAUCAGGAAGAACACCGAUGGCGAAGGCAGGUUACUGGGCCGUUACUGACGCUGAGGAGCGAAAGCGUGGGGAGCGAACAG